This is a non-coding RNA of Callithrix jacchus (white-tufted-ear marmoset), 1018 nucleotides long. NCBI's taxonomy places the organism in Eukaryota, Metazoa, Chordata, Mammalia, Primates, Cebidae. The record is from RefSeq and is a predicted model, not a curated record.
CGCCCAGCGCCCGCCCCUCAGGGGGCCGCACGGGCCGGGGGUUGCGCGCUCUGCAGGAGACGCACUGGCGAGAGGGCCUCGAGGCGGGAAGGCUGCAAGAUCUGGAGCAGACCGCAACCCGUAGGGCUCGCAGAGUCGCAGACUCUGGCGGGAUCUUGAGCGCGCCAAUCCGGGUCAUUGCCCUGCACAGCGGGAGAAGUCACCGCAUUGAAGUUCCCUAGGCGCUGGAUGAACGAAGAUCUGGUUGAGAGCUUGAACACCCCUGGAGCAGAUGACUAAGAAAACGCUGGCCCAGUGAAGCUUCCCUGCUGAGCCCUAAGCCCUGAAAGCCUCCCGCAGUUUACCCUGACCCCGUGCCUGCUCUGUGCGUUUUCCGAUUUCUUGUUGGUUGAAUACCUCCCUCUCCACUCCCAACUUCAGGAUAAAGAAAACUGAGGAGCUACAGCUAUUAUGCAGCAGAGCCACAUUUAAGCCCUGAGCUGUCUGACUCCAAAGGCUGUGGCAAUAAGAAGUCCUCUGAGAAAUGGGUGGGCAGGGCUCUGUCACCAGGCUGGAGUGCACUGGCGCGAUCUUGGCUCACUGCAACCUCCGCCUCCCGGGUACAAGUGAUUCUCCUGCCUCAGCCUCCCAAGUAGCUGAGACUACAGCUGUGUGCCACCUAAUUUUUGUAUUUUUAGUAGGGACAGGGUUUCACCAUGUUGGCCAGGAUGAUCUCAAUCUCUUGACCUUGUGAUCUGCCCACCUUGGCCUCCCAAAGUGCUGGGAUUACAGGUGUGAGCCACCACGCCCAGCCUAUAAUAUGUUGUUCUUUUCUGAGUUUGAGUCCAGAUUACUUUCUCCCAGCUGGAAAGGCAUCAGAGCCAACGUGUAGUACACCUUUGCUUUUUAGCUGCUUAUCCAACAUUCCUUCACUUUCACAAACUCAUAUAUUCAGCAUGUGUAUUUGUCAGAUAAUUAUAUUACCAUUUAAAAGCAAGGCUAUACAGUUUUUAUAAAACAUUAAAACACAAGAAACUGG